This 694-nucleotide ribosomal RNA is filed under the name Verrucosispora sp. PC1040. RNAcentral's name for it is "bacterial SSU rRNA". It matches the Rfam family "Bacterial small subunit ribosomal RNA", at positions 41 to 750 of the family's 1533-position model. Lineage: Bacteria; Bacillati; Actinomycetota; Actinomycetes; Micromonosporales; Micromonosporaceae. The record is from RNAcentral.
AUUACGCAAUCCUUACCAAUGCAGUCGAGCGGAAGGCCCUUCGGGGUACUCGAGCGGCGAACGGGUGAGUAACACGUGAGCAACCUGCCCUAGGCUUUGGGAUAACCCUCGGAAACGGGGGCUAAUACCGAAUAUUCACUUGCGGGCGCAUGUUUGUGGGUGGAAAGUUUUUCGGCUUGGGAUGGGCUCGCGGCCUAUCAGCUUGUUGGUGGGGUGAUGGCCUACCAAGGCGACGACGGGUAGCCGGCCUGAGAGGGCGACCGGCCACACUGGGACUGAGACACGGCCCAGACUCCUACGGGAGGCAGCAGUGGGGAAUAUUGCACAAUGGGCGGAAGCCUGAUGCAGCGACGCCGCGUGAGGGAUGACGGCCUUCGGGUUGUAAACCUCUUUCAGCAGGGACGAAGCGCAAGUGACGGUACCUGCAGAAGAAGCGCCGGCCAACUACGUGCCAGCAGCCGCGGUAAGACGUAGGGCGCGAGCGUUGUCCGGAUUUAUUGGGCGUAAAGAGCUCGUAGGCGGCUUGUCGCGUCGACUGUGAAAACCCACGGCUCAACUGUGGGCUUGCAGUCGAUACGGGCAGGCUAGAGUUCGGUAGGGGAGACUGGAAUUCCUGGUGUAGCGGUGAAAUGCGCAGAUAUCAGGAGGAACACCGGUGGCGAAGGCGGGUCUCUGGGCCGAAACUGACGCUGAG